Molecule: ribosomal RNA, 391 nt
Filed under: uncultured bacterium
Lineage: Bacteria
Description: bacterial SSU rRNA
Rfam family: Bacterial small subunit ribosomal RNA
Source: RNAcentral
UUACCGGCUUGACAUUAACCCGAUGUGCCUCGGACAGGUGCUGCAUGGCGUCGUCAGUUCGUGCCGUGAGGUGUUGGGUUAAGUCCCGCAACGAACGCAACCCUGUGUUAGUUGCAGAGGACCGAGACUCUAGCAGGCUGCCCGUGAAACGGGAGGAAGGUGGGGAUGACGUCAAGUCAGUAUGGCCCUUACGCCGGGCUGCACACGUGCUACAAUGGAGUACAAGGGGCACCGCGAGGGGAGCAAUCCCAAACUGCCCCAGUUCGGAUUGUAGUCUGCAACUCGACUACAUGAAGUCGGAUUCGCUAGUAACGGCGAUCAGCACGCGCCGUGAAUACGUUCCCGGGCCUUGUACACACCGCCCGUCACAUCAUGAAAGCCGUUGACCGAA